Molecule: ribosomal RNA, 253 nt
Filed under: uncultured bacterium
Lineage: Bacteria
Description: partial 16S ribosomal RNA
Rfam family: Bacterial small subunit ribosomal RNA
Source: RNAcentral
UACGGGGGGGGCAAGCGUUGUUCGGAAUUACUGGGCGUAAAGGGCUCGUAGGCGGCCAACUAAGUCAGACGUGAAAUCCCUCGGCUUAACCGGGGAACUGCGUCUGAUACUGGAUGGCUUGAAUCCGGGAGAGGGAUGCGGAAUUCCAGGUGUAGCGGUGGAAUGCGUAGAGAUCCGGAAGAACACCGGAGGCGAAGGCGGCUUGCUGGGCGUGAUCUGACGCUGAGGCGCGAAAGCGUGGGGAGCGAACAGG